This 74-nucleotide transfer RNA is filed under the name Microtus socialis (social vole). RNAcentral describes it as "tRNA-Gln". It matches the Rfam family "tRNA". From Rfam's summary of the family: Transfer RNA (tRNA) molecules are approximately 80 nucleotides in length. Their secondary structure includes four short double-helical elements and three loops (D, anti-codon, and T loops). The record is from RNAcentral. Lineage: Eukaryota; Metazoa; Chordata; Mammalia; Rodentia; Cricetidae.
UUUAGAAUGGGGUGUAAUAGGUAGCACGGAGAAUUUUGAAUUCUCAGGUAUAGGUUCAAUUCCUAUUGUUCUAG